AGAGUUUGAUCCUGGCUCAGGAUGAACGCUGGUGGCGUGCCUAAUACAUGCAAGUCGAACGAAGAAGCAAGCUUGCUUGCUUCUUAGUGGCGAACGGGUGAGUAAUACAUAAAUAAUCUACCAUAAUGACUGGGAUAACCAAUGGAAACGCUGGCUAAUACCGGAUAGGUAAAACGAGGGCAUCUUUGUUUUAUUAAAGUAGGGCUACUACACAAUAUGAUGAGUUUAUGGCGCAUUAGCUAGUUGGUGAGGUAACGGCUCACCAAGGCGAUGAUGCGUAGCCGACCUGAGAGGGUGACCGGCCACACUGGGACUGAGACACGGCCCAGACUCCUACGGGAAGCAGCAGUAGGGAAUUUUCGGCAAUGGGCGCAAGCCUGACCGAGCAACGCCGCGUGAGUGAAGAAGGCCUUCGGGUUGUAAAGCUCUGUUGUAAGGGAAGAGCACUUUUUAGAGGAAAUGCUAGAGAGCUGACGGUACCUUACCAGAAAGCCACGGCUAACUACGUGCCAGCAGCCGCGGUAAUACGUAGGUGGCGAGCGUUAUCCGGAAUUAUUGGGCGUAAAGGGUGCGUAGGCGGUUUAUUAAGUCUGUGGUGAAAGUGCGGGGCUCAACCCCGUAUGGCCACAGAAACUGAUAGACUAGAGUACAGGAGAGGGCAGUGGAAUUCCAUGUGUAGCGGUAAAGUGCGUAGAUAUAUGGAGGAACACCGGUGGCGAAGGCGGCUGCCUGGCCUGUAACUGACGCUGAGGCACGAAAGCGUGGGGAGCAAAUAGGAUUAGAUACCCUAGUAGUCCACGCUGUAAACGAUGAUUACUAAGUGUUGGAGAAAUUCAGUGCUGCAGUUAACGCAAUAAGUAAUCCGCCUGGGGAGUAUGCACGCAAGUGUGAAACUCAAAGGAAUUGACGGGACCCCGCACAAGCGGUGGAGUAUGUGGUUUAAUUCGAAGCAACGCGAGGAACCUUACCAGGUCUUGACAUGGUGUUUAAGGCCCUAGAGAUAGGGAGAUAAUAAGCACACACAGGUGGCGCAUGGUUGUCGUCAGCUCGUGUCGUGAAAUGUUGGGUUAAGUCCCGCAACGAGCGCAACCCUUGUCUUUAGUUACCAUCAUUAAGUUGGGGACUCUAGAGAGACUGCCGGUGAUAAACCGGAGGAAGGUGGGGAUGACGUCAAAUCAUCAUGCCCCUUAUGACCUGGGCUACACACGUACUACAAUGGCGCAUACAGCGAGUUGCGAGAUGGUGACAUCAAGCGAAUCUCUUAAAAUGCGUCUCAGUUCGGAUUGGAGUCUGCAACUCGACUCCAUGGAGUCGGAAUCGCUAGUAAUCGUGGAUCAGCAUGCCGCGGUGAAUACGUUCUCGGGGUUUGCAAUCACCGCCCGUCAA
RNAcentral lists this ribosomal RNA (1386 nucleotides) under uncultured bacterium. RNAcentral's name for it is "bacterial SSU rRNA". It matches the Rfam family "Bacterial small subunit ribosomal RNA". The record is from RNAcentral.